AUACAGAGGGUGCGAGCGUUAAUCGGAAUUACUGGGCGUAAAGCGCUCGUAGGCGGUUUGUUAAGUCGGAUGUGAAAGCCCCGGGCUCAACCUGGGAACUGCAUUCGAUACUGGCAAACUAGAGUAUAGUAGAGGCAAGUGGAAUUCCGGGUGUAGCGGUGAAAUGCGUAGAUAUCCGGAGGAACAUCAGUGGCGAAGGCGACUUGCUGGACUAAUACUGACGCUGAGGAGCGAAAGCGUGGGGAGCAAACAGGAUUAGAAACCCCAGUAGUCC
RNAcentral lists this ribosomal RNA (274 nucleotides) under uncultured bacterium. RNAcentral describes it as "partial 16S ribosomal RNA". It matches the Rfam family "Bacterial small subunit ribosomal RNA", at positions 523 to 796 of the family's 1533-position model. The record is from RNAcentral.